This 393-nucleotide ribosomal RNA is filed under the name uncultured bacterium. RNAcentral describes it as "partial 16S ribosomal RNA". It matches the Rfam family "Bacterial small subunit ribosomal RNA", at positions 523 to 918 of the family's 1533-position model. The record is from RNAcentral.
AUACGGAGGAUGCGAGCGUUAUCCGGAUUUAUUGGGUUUAAAGGGUGCGUAGGUGGUAGAUUAAGUCAGCGGUGAAAGUUUGUCGCUCAACGAUAAAAUUGCCGUUGAUACUGGUUUACUUGAGUAUAGUUGAAGUAGGCGGAAUGCGUGGUGUAGCGGUGAAAUGCAUAGAUAUCACGCAGAACUCCGAUUGCGAAGGCAGCUUACUAACACACGACUGACGCUCAGGCGCGAAGGCGUGGGGAUCAAACAGGAUUAGAUGCCCUGGUAGUCCACGCUGUGAACGAUGAUUACUGGUUGUUAGCGAUAGAUAGCUAGUGACUGAGCGAAAGCAUUAAGUAAUCCACCUGGGGAGUACGUCGGCAACGAUGAAACUUAAAGGAAUUGACGGGG